Molecule: ribosomal RNA, 253 nt
Filed under: uncultured bacterium
Lineage: Bacteria
Description: partial 16S ribosomal RNA
Rfam family: Bacterial small subunit ribosomal RNA
Source: RNAcentral
UACGGAGGGAGCUAGCGUUGUUCGGAAUUACUGGGCGUAAAGCGCACGUAGGCGGCUUUGUAAGUUAGAGGUGAAAGCCCGGGGCUCAACCCCGGAAUUGCCUUUAAGACUGCAUCGCUUGAAUCCAGGAGAGGUGAGUGGAAUUCCGAGUGUAGAGGUGAAAUUCGUAGAUAUUCGGCGGAACACCAGUGGCGAAGGCGACUCACUGGCCCGAUACUGACGCUGAGGCGCGAAAGCGUGGGGAGCAAACAGG